GGGGAGGCUCUCUAUUUAUAGUUGAGCUCCCCCAAAACCGAUGGCUACAAUUAAAAGCUGUAUUCAAUUAGGACUCUAACUUUACAGAAUUAGAAGUUGUGUACAAUUAGAACUUCUAAGACUACUUAGUCCUAUCUUCAUUAUCGGGCCCAUCAGGCUUCAAUGUGACAGGCCUGUCCAACAGCUCUUUGAAUCGGGCCAGUUCUCGUAGGCCAAAUGAUCCCCAUCUGAGCAACAGACCUCCAUUGGAUGCAUUUGGUG
RNAcentral lists this long non-coding RNA (261 nucleotides) under Gossypium barbadense (sea-island cotton). Its description in RNAcentral is "long non-coding RNA (GBAR_LNC018692)". Lineage: Eukaryota; Viridiplantae; Streptophyta; Magnoliopsida; Malvales; Malvaceae. The record is from RNAcentral.